AUUGAACGCUGGCGGCAGGCCUAACACAUGCAAGUCGAACGGUAACAGGAAGCAGCUUGCUGCUUCGCUGACGAGUGGCGGACGGGUGAGUAACGUCUGGGAAGCUGCCUGAUGGAGGGGGAUAACUACUGGAAACGGUAGCUAAUACCGCAUAAUGUCGCAAGACCAAAGAGGGGGACCUUCGGGCCUCUUGCCAUCGGAUGUGCCCAGAUGGGAUUAGCUUGUUGGUGGGGUAACGGCUCACCAAGGCGACGAUCCCUAGCUGGUCUGAGAGGAUGACCAGCCACACUGGAACUGAGACACGGUCCAGACUCCUACGGGAGGCAGCAGUGGGGAAUAUUGCACAAUGGGCGCAAGCCUGAUGCAGCCAUGCCGCGUGUAUGAAGAAGGCCUUCGGGUUGUAAAGUACUUUCAGCGGGGAGGAAGGGAGUAAAGUUAAUACCUUUGCUCAUUGACGUUACCCGCAGAAGAAGCACCGGCUAACUCCGUG
This 490-nucleotide ribosomal RNA is filed under the name uncultured bacterium. RNAcentral describes it as "partial 16S ribosomal RNA". It matches the Rfam family "Bacterial small subunit ribosomal RNA", at positions 30 to 507 of the family's 1533-position model. The record is from RNAcentral.